This 330-nucleotide unclassified non-coding RNA is filed under the name soil metagenome. RNAcentral describes it as "partial contains 5.8S ribosomal RNA, internal transcribed spacer 2, and large subunit ribosomal RNA". The stretch from base 1 to 120 matches the Rfam family "5.8S ribosomal RNA", at positions 35 to 154 of the family's 154-position model. The record is from RNAcentral.
GAUGAAGAACGUAGCGAAAUGCGAUAAGUAAUGUGAAUUGCAGAAUUCAGUGAAUCAUCGAAUCUUUGAACGCACAUUGCGCCCGCCAGUAUUCUGGCGGGCAUGCCUGUCCGAGCGUCAUUUCAACCAUCAAGCCCCGGGCUUGUGUUGGGGACCUGCGUCCGACGCAGGCCCUGAAAACCAGUGGCGGGCUCGCUGUCCACACCGAGCGUAGUAACUAACCUCGCUAUGGAGUGGCGCGGGCGCCUGCCGUAAAACCCCCAAUUUCACAAGGUUGACCUCGGAUCAGGUAGGAAUACCCGCUGAACUUAAGCAUAUCAAAGCGGAGGA